UACAGAGGUCCCAAGCGUUGUUCGGAUUCACUGGGCGUAAAGGGUGCGUAGGCGGCCGGGUAAGUCUGAUGUGAAAUCCCGCAGCUUAACUGCGGAACUGCAUCGGAUACUCUCCGGCUAGAGUUCGGUAGGGGAGACUGGAAUUCCUGGUGUAGCGGUGAAAUGCGCAGAUAUCAGGAGGAACACCGGUGGCGAAGGCGGGUCUCUGGGCCGAUACUGACGCUGAGGAGCGAAAGCGUGGGGAGCGAACAGG
This 253-nucleotide ribosomal RNA is filed under the name uncultured bacterium. Its description in RNAcentral is "partial 16S ribosomal RNA". It matches the Rfam family "Bacterial small subunit ribosomal RNA", at positions 524 to 776 of the family's 1533-position model. The record is from RNAcentral.